RNAcentral lists this ribosomal RNA (421 nucleotides) under uncultured bacterium. RNAcentral describes it as "bacterial SSU rRNA". It matches the Rfam family "Bacterial small subunit ribosomal RNA", at positions 43 to 480 of the family's 1533-position model. The record is from RNAcentral.
CAGGCCUAACACAUGCAAGUCGAACGGUGAUCUCUCUUCGGAGGGUGAUCAGUGGCGAACGGGUGAGUAACACGUGAGCAACCUGCCCCUGACUCUGGGAUAGCCUCGGGAAACCGGGAUUAAUACCGGAUAUGACACCUCCUCGCAUGGGGUGGUGUGGAAAGUUCUUCGGUCAGGGAUGGGCUCGCGGCCUAUCAGCUCGUUGGUGGGGUGAUGGCCUACCAAGGCGACGACGGGUAGCCGGCCUGAGAGGGUGACCGGCCACACUGGGACUGAGACACGGCCCAGACUCCUACGGGAGGCAGCAGUGGGGAAUAUUGCGCAAUGGGCGAAAGCCUGACGCAGCGACGCCGCGUGAGGGAUGAAGGCCUUCGGGUUGUAAACCUCUUUCAGCAGGGAAGAAGCGCAAGUGACGGUACCU